RNAcentral lists this unclassified non-coding RNA (378 nucleotides) under plant metagenome. RNAcentral describes it as "partial contains 5.8S ribosomal RNA, internal transcribed spacer 2, and large subunit ribosomal RNA". The stretch from base 1 to 105 matches the Rfam family "5.8S ribosomal RNA", at positions 50 to 154 of the family's 154-position model. The record is from RNAcentral.
GAAAUGCGAUAAGUAAUGUGAAUUGCAGAAUUCAGUGAAUCAUCGAAUCUUUGAACGCACAUUGCGCUCCUUGGUAUUCCUUGGAGUAUGCCUGUUUGAGUAUCAUGAAAUCUUCAAAGUAAAUCUUUUGUUAACUCAAUUGGUUUCUACUUUGGUAUUGGAGGUCUUUGCAGCUUCACACCUGCUCCUCUUUGUUCAUUAGCUGGAUCUCAGUGUUAUGCUUGGUUCCACUCGGCGUGAUAAGUUAUCUAUCGCUGAGGACACUGUAAAAGGUGGCCAAGGUAAAUGCAGAUGAACCGCUUCUAAUAGUCCAUUGACUUGGACAAUACUUUUAUGAUCUGAUCUCAAAUCAGGUAGGACUACCCGCUGAACUUAAGC